CUUGUUCAAUUAUAGGAGGUCCAGCCUGCCCAGUGACUUUGUUCAACGGCCGCGGUAUCCUAACCGUGCGAAGGUAGCGUAAUCACUUGUUCUUUAAAUGAGGACUAGUAUGAAUGGCCCCACGAGGGCUGCACUGUCUCCUUUUUCUAAUCAAUGAAACUAAUCUCCCCGUGAAGAAGCGGGAAUAAUCCUAUAAGACGAGAAGACCCUAUGGAGCUUUAAACAACUGAAACAUUUGCUUUUCUCCUAAUUCCUCCCGAGCUCUUUAUUUUUACUUAAGCAUUAUUAUUUCUAGUUUUAGGUUGGGGUGACCACGGAGCAAAACUAAACCUCCAUGAAGAAAUGAAUAUUUUUAAGCUACAAACUACUUUUUUAAGCAUCAACAAAUUGACCUUCAUUGACCCAAUAUAUUGAUCAACGAAC
RNAcentral lists this ribosomal RNA (423 nucleotides) under Ameerega trivittata group sp. ABGD cluster 24. Its description in RNAcentral is "partial large subunit ribosomal RNA". It matches the Rfam family "Bacterial large subunit ribosomal RNA", at positions 1834 to 2457 of the family's 2925-position model. Lineage: Eukaryota; Metazoa; Chordata; Amphibia; Anura; Dendrobatidae. The record is from RNAcentral.